GGGAGAGGGAGAAGAGAAAGCACUUAGUGUUCUCACCAUUUCAAGACGCAUGACUGAAAGAAAAGGGAGAGAGAGAUAAAGCCCACUUCUGAUAUCAUAAAGUAGUGGUGAGGGGAACCACACCAGACACUACACAGGAGGAGGGGAUUAUCGGGGACCAUCUCAGAAGCUGGUUGCCACUGCUGCUGUCUUAUCCUUAAAGAACUGGUCAUCUAUUGCAGACCCUCUCCUCCUCAGCCUGAAAAGAUCAACGAAGAAGGUAACCUGAACUGAAUCUUCAGUAAUGUUUAAAAGAACGAGAUCCAGAGAGGGUGCUCGGGGAAAUCCUGGCUGGACACCAGAUUGCUGCACACUCCCCUGCAGCCACUUUGCUUGGAGAACUAACACAGGUCUAUAAAGGGAGCUCUGAGCCCGGGACCCUCAGCAACCUCAACCAGAGUAAUUUGCAAUAGAGGUGGCCAAGGACCUGUAACAGUGUUGCCCAGAGACUCAGGA
Molecule: long non-coding RNA, 495 nt
Filed under: Equus caballus (horse)
Lineage: Eukaryota; Metazoa; Chordata; Mammalia; Perissodactyla; Equidae
Description: lncRNA (ENSECAG00000057252.1)
Source: RNAcentral